GAGGGAAAGUUGCAAAGAACUUUGAAGAGAGAGUUCAAGAGGACGUGAAACCGCUUAGAAGGAAACAAGUAGAGGUGCGAGUGGCUCGGCCGAUUCAGGCAGUCGGCGGUGCGUGUAUGUGCGUCCGAUCGCAAGACGGAUGCAUGUGCUGCGUGCCGUUUGAUUGUUGCAUUUUGGCCGAGUAGCACCGGCGGCCGUACGGUGCCGGCGCUGCCCUGCAGUUGACGAUGCCGCUUCGGUGGUUGUCGGCUGUGGACGCAGCGCAUGUGUGCUGUACGGUUACAAGGGCGAACGCACAUGUGCGACGGUGGUCGCGACUGGUGCACGCUGGCCGACCUGCUUGCAGGAGAGCUGGUGUGUGCUGGUCGUUGGUUGCUUAGUCGCAUGUUUGUCCACGCUGGUGAACAAGUCACCGACCUACUUGACCCGUCUUGAAACACGGACCAAGGAGUCUAACAUGUACGCGAGUCGUAGGGUGCUAAAACCCGAAGGCGCAAUGAAAGUAAAGCUUGUCGACACAGGACCCUGUCUUUACGGCAGGAGCACUGUGGCCCCGUUCGCACUGCAUGUCAGUGGAGCGGCGGUAGAGCGUACACGUUGGGACCCGAAAGAUGGUGAACUAUGCCUGAGCAGGGCGAAGCCAGAGGAAACUCUGGUGGAGGCUCGAAACGGUUCUGACGUGCAAAUCGAUCGUCAGACUUGGGUAUAGGGGCGAAAGACUAAUCGAACCAUCUAGUAGCUG
Molecule: ribosomal RNA, 742 nt
Filed under: Monhystera sp. ZQZ-2010a
Lineage: Eukaryota; Metazoa; Nematoda; Chromadorea; Monhysterida; Monhysteridae
Description: LSU rRNA
Rfam family: Eukaryotic large subunit ribosomal RNA
Source: RNAcentral